Molecule: RNA transcript, 2009 nt
Organism: Sitodiplosis mosellana (orange wheat blossom midge)
Lineage: Eukaryota; Metazoa; Arthropoda; Insecta; Diptera; Cecidomyiidae
Exons: 4
Source: RefSeq, a predicted model, not a curated record
ACGCAUUCAAUCAGCUUAUUGAUCAAUAUACCACCAAUGUCAAGAACAACAUCAAAACGUGGUGCUACACCCGUAUCAAAACGUUUUUCGUGCUGCAACGGUAUGAGCUCAAUUUGCUUGGCCAUAACAUCAGCGACAUCGAUGUGAAAAAUGCCACCAAAGCAGUUAUGUUCAACAACAUAGUGCCAAGUGCGAAUGUGGAGCGGCUGCUCGAGCAAGCGCGUAUGAUCGGAAUACCAGUCGGUACGAAGUUGUGUGAUCUCGUCCGUGGUAGUUGGUUCCAGACAAUACCGAUAUUCAUCACCAUUCAACGGCUAGUGUUCAACCACCAUGAAAGAUACGAGCUCUUGAAUGAUCUCUGGCGCCGAUAUUAUCGGGAUCGAUUACACAACGCCAUGCCAUCCAUUGCACGCCCACCGAAAAUAAAAAACUUUCGUGUAAUUCCGAUAUUCAUCUGUUCUAUCAAAUGGCGUGCAAAUUGGGUGCCAUCAAGUUGGCAAAAGGAUUGUUUGGCCAGCCGGUGAACAUUUCGAAAAAGGUCUACGACAGCAAUCCAUUUGUGUCCUGGGACACAAUAUUCAACAUGGACAAGAUUCAGAAAGUCGGCAAUCGCAAGACAUUUGACUACACAAUCGUGACGGAUAGUGUGGCUGUUUCGUUGUGUUUCCUGAAGCCAGAAUGCCCCUCACACGAAUAUUCGCACGAGCAAAUCAACGAAAUGUACGAAAAUGGUGUUUUCCGCUUCGUGCUUGGCAUGGAUCCUGGUGUGCGAACCUGGAAUGCCACGGUGCGAAAACAUAUCGCAUCCGGUGUGGAAGAAAACAUCACGAUCGACGGUCCGAAAUACCAUUUUCGAGCGAAAUAUGGCAAACGAAAGCGCAAAUCGGAAAAAUGGCUACGAUUGUUCACCGAAUUGGAGCAACAUGACCGAAAUCAAUAUCCAUUCUAUCCAUCGCCCAAGGGAGCCUCAAAUUGGAUGAGUUACAUCGAACAUCGUGUGAAAAUGUUGCAGCCUGGAAUGGAGGUUUACACAGCACGCAAAUACAUUCGCCUCAAUCUCGAUAAACAUAUCGAGGAGACCCGUGCAAGUGAUACCAUCGCUGCUUUUUUGACCAGAAAAUUGCCAUCGCUCAUUUUCCUUGGUGCAGCUCAAAUGGCUCCAAAUUCGCCAAUUGGUAUUAAGAAACGGUUGCGGUGCCCUGGUGUACGGAAACUACUGAACAGCUUCAAGAAACUGCACAAUUGUGUGGUGGUGAUGGUUGACGAGUACAAAACAUCGCAGACGUGUGCAAAGUGCUUUCGGCCAUUUGAUCGACGUACAAAAAAGGACCGCUACAAAGUCUGCCGUCAGUGCAUUCCACAUGCAGCAAACAUCACGACUGACAAACACCUGAGCAGUGUGAUCAUCAGCAAGAAAAGCAACCGGUCGUAUCAACGAGAGCGACGACAUGUUGUUGCGGAAUAUGAACGAUUGAAUGUACAUCCAGUGUAUUCACAUGGUUUAGUGCCGAAACUCAAUGUAUGGUUCAAAAACUGGCAGCUAAACACUGAUAACACAUGGAACGAUUCACGUCAUCCACAUCAACAGAACACUGUUUGGCAUCGGGAUGAAGUCGCUGCCAAGUGCAUAUUGUACAAAGGUCUUUGUAUGAUAAAGGGCUUGGCUGUGCAUCCGCAACUGUCGAGACAACAUCAUGCAGCAGCUGCAGCCGCGCAGAACAAUGCCGAAGGCAACCAAGAUGACAACGAUAGCGACAGCGACGAUGAUUACGUUUACGUUCUCGGCGACGUGUCCGAUGAAGAAUAGUUUUUAGUUGAUGUAGGAUUAAGUUUUCAAACAAUAAUAAUUGUAACGUUUUGUUACUUUGCUGGGCUUUGAGUAUUGUGGCCUUGUCCGAAGUACGGGGCUUAGUCGGAUCAUAUAAAAUACCUCGUAGUCAUUACUCAAAAAAAUUAUAUUAAAAAUAAGCGUUUAAUUUUCCAUGUCAAAUGUCUUGUAUUACAUAAAU